GAUUUGUUUUUUAAUUUGAAAAUGGGAUGAAAGGAUACACUAUUAAACUUAGUAUUAUUUUUAUUUUUAGAAAUUAAAUUAUUAAUGCAAAUUUUAAUAUAAUUUUUUUAGACGAUAAGACCCUAAGAAUCUUAAUUUUGAACAAAAAUAUUUUUAUAAAUUUUCAUUAAAUUUAAUUGGGGAAAUAAUUAAUAAAGUUAUUAAAACAUAUUUGAGACUAGAUCCUUUUUAGAAAAAACGAAAAAGAUACUCUAGGGAUAACAGCAUAAUAUUUAUUCAAGUUCAUAUUUAGAUAAAUGA
RNAcentral lists this ribosomal RNA (300 nucleotides) under Heterorhabdus papilliger. RNAcentral's name for it is "partial 16S rRNA". The record is from RNAcentral. Lineage: Eukaryota; Metazoa; Arthropoda; Copepoda; Calanoida; Heterorhabdidae.